RNAcentral lists this ribosomal RNA (454 nucleotides) under uncultured bacterium. Its description in RNAcentral is "partial 16S ribosomal RNA". It matches the Rfam family "Bacterial small subunit ribosomal RNA", at positions 28 to 507 of the family's 1533-position model. The record is from RNAcentral.
GAUGAACGCUGACAGAAUGCUUAACACAUGCAAGUCCACUUGAACUUCGGUUUGGGUGGCGGACGGGUGAGUAACGCGUAAAGAACUUGCCUCACAGUUAGGGACAACAUUUGGAAACGAAUGCUAAUACCUGAUAUUAUGAUUUUAGGGCAUCCUAGAAUUAUGAAAGCUAUAUGCGCUGUGAGAGAGCUUUGCGUCCCAUUAGCUAGUUGGAGAGGUAACGGCUCACCAAGGCGAUGAUGGGUAGCCGGCCUGAGAGGGUGAACGGCCACAAGGGGAAUGAGACACGGCCCUUACUCAUACGGGAGGCAGGAGUGGGGAAUAUUGGACAAUGGACCAAGAGUCUGAUACAGCAAUUCUGUGUGCAAGAUGAAGUUUUUCGGAAUGUAAAGUGCUUUCAGUUGGGAAGAAAAAAAUGACGGUACCAACAGAAGAAGUGACGGCUAAAUACGUG